RNAcentral lists this ribosomal RNA (555 nucleotides) under uncultured archaeon. RNAcentral describes it as "bacterial SSU rRNA". It matches the Rfam family "Archaeal small subunit ribosomal RNA", at positions 325 to 879 of the family's 1478-position model. The record is from RNAcentral.
ACGGGGUGCAGCAGGCGCGAAACCUUUACACUGCACGCAAGUGCGAUAAGGGGACUCCGAGUGCGAGGGCAUAUAGUCCUCGCUUUUGAGAACCGUAAGGCGGUUCUCGAAUAAGAGCUGGGCAAGACCGGUGCCAGCCGCCGCGGUAAUACCGGCAGCUCAAGUGAUGGCCAAUUUUAUUGGGCCUAAAGCGUCCGUAGCUGGCCGUGAAAAUUCGUCGGGAAAUCCAUCCGCUCAACGGAUGGGCGUCCGGCGAAAACUUCAUGGCUUGGGACCGGAAGGCUCGAGGGGUACGUCCGGGGUAGGAGUGAAAUCCUGUAAUCCUGGACGGACCACCGAUGGCGAAAGCACCUCGAGAAGACGGAUCCGACAGUGAGGGACGAAAGCUAGGGUCUCGAACCGGAUUAGAUACCCGGGUAGUCCUAGCCGUAAACAAUGUUCACUAGGUGUGGCACAGGCUACGAGCCUGUGCUGUGCCGUAGGGAAGCCGAGAAGUGAACCGCCUGGGAAGUACGUCCGCAAGGAUGAAACUUAAAGGAAUUGGCGGGGGAGCAC